GACGAACGCUGGCGGCGUGCCUAACACAUGCAAGUUGAGCGACGAACCAGGGCUUGCCCUGGGGCAAAGCAGCGAACGGGUGAGUAACACGUGGGUAACCUACCCCGAUAACCGGGACAACCCGAGGAAACUCGGGCUAAUACCGGAUGUGCUCACUGGACUUCGGUUCAGUGCGUAAAGGAAGCUUCGGCCUCCGUAUCGGGAGGGGCCCGCGGCCCAUUAGGUUGUUGGUGAGGUAACGGCUCACCAAGACCGCGAUGGGUAGCUGGUCUGAGAGGACGAUCAGCCACACUGGGACUGAGACACGGCCCAGACUCCUACGGGAGGCAGCAGUGGGGAAUCUUGCGCAAUGCGCGAAAGCGUGACGCAGCAACGCCGCGUGGGGGAAGAAGGCCUUCGGGUUGUAAACCCCUUUCAGGAGGGACGAAGGUUCGGCGGUGAAUAGCCGUCCGGACUGACGGUACCUCCACAAGAAGCCCCGGCUAACUACGUG
Molecule: ribosomal RNA, 493 nt
Filed under: uncultured bacterium
Lineage: Bacteria
Description: partial 16S ribosomal RNA
Rfam family: Bacterial small subunit ribosomal RNA
Source: RNAcentral